UACGUAGGGUGCAAGCAUUAAUCGGAAUUAUUGGGCGUAUAGGGCGCGUAGGCGGACCUUUUAGUCGGAUGUGAAAUCCUAGGGCUCAACCUUAGAACUGCAUCCGAAACUGGAGGUCUAGAGGGUAGGAGGAGAAAACGGAAUUCCACAAGUAGCGGUGAAAUGCGUAGAUAUGUGGAAGAACACCUGUGGCGAAAGCGGUUUUCUAUCUUAUUCCUGACGCUGAGGCGCGAAAGCAAGGGGAUCAAACAGG
RNAcentral lists this ribosomal RNA (253 nucleotides) under uncultured bacterium. Its description in RNAcentral is "partial 16S ribosomal RNA". It matches the Rfam family "Bacterial small subunit ribosomal RNA", at positions 524 to 776 of the family's 1533-position model. RNAcentral also lists the same sequence under 1 other name. The record is from RNAcentral.